This is a long non-coding RNA of Panthera uncia (snow leopard), 2105 nucleotides long. RefSeq lists it as uncharacterized. The transcript is spliced from 3 exons. The record is from RefSeq and is a predicted model, not a curated record. NCBI's taxonomy places the organism in Eukaryota, Metazoa, Chordata, Mammalia, Carnivora, Felidae.
UCAUCUGGGGGCUGCUGGGCCUCACGGCGCUACGUCACGAACGGUCGCCUUAACAACCUCCCACAGCUCUCACUGCUGCGGACAACAGGCACCGCACCAUCUCUCACCAUGGCUCGGCCAACCAAUAGCUAGUCGAGUCCCAGAACUAGGGCCUGCCUAUUGGCCCAAGAGCCCUGGGGGCGCAAGCAUGUGGAAGGAAACAGUUUUCACAGUGAAGAAGACUGUAGUGAACAAAACAAAGAUUGAAAUAUUCUAAGUCUUAUCAAAAGGAAGGAGAAGGAGAAAAGAAGAAAAAGAGGAAGGAGUGGAAGAGGAAGAAGAAAAAGCAGGAGGAGGAGAAGAAGUGAAGGAAGGAAGGAAUUUACUCUCCUCAGGAAAAAAGAAUCCUCACACAAUGUAGAAACAACCUAUCUAUAAUCAGAGUGAGCGUCGUGUAUCCCUGAGAUUCUUAGGGAUUCUUGGCCAAGGUGGCUGGUUCACAAGCCAAUGAAAGACCAAGAAAGGAGGUGAAAUGAAGGAGGGAAGGAAGAACGAAUUUUGACUGAAAUAUGAGCACUAUUUUUUCUCCCUCAUUAACAAACCUGGUACUGGUCUCAGUUGAUAAGAGUGGAGUGUGCUGUUGAUGACAAAGGCUGUAUCCAAUUCACUUGUCAUGUCCCAACAACUUUCUCCUGUUUACCAUCAUCUUUCCAAUGCCAUCUUCUCCUUCCAGCUUUGUAUGGCUCCCAGUUGAGAGACAGCAGAAGAUUGUAAGAGUGAGGGGGAAAGAGGAAGAGCUUGCAAGGAUGUAGAUAAGAUCACACGAGGCAAGUGUGAAACAAAACAAAGAAGGAUAAUGGCCCAAAGAGGCCCACCUCAGCUUUUCUGAGCAACCCCAUAAAUUGCCAAAGAGCAAAGUGCCCAGGGCUACACACCUGUAAUAAAUUUGGUUACAAGUAACAGAGAACUUAAACUAAAAUAUUUAACAAAUAUUUUUAAAUAUUGGUUUAAACAAAAUAAGCAUCCCUUUCUUUUUUGGGUAAAGGAAACUGAAGAUAAGUAGUCUAGGAUUAGCAUGGCAGCCCAGGAUGCUUCCAAGGACCCUUCUAUCUGUCUGCUCCACCACCUUAGCCUGUCUUCCACCCUCACAGUCACUUUGAAGUCCAAGAAGGCAGCUAGAGCUCCAGCCUUCAUAUCUGCAUUUUCAUCCUUCUGGAAGGAGCAGAAUAAAAAACAAGAGGGCAAAAAAGAGCCCUUCCCAACUGAGUCAGCUCUCUUUUCAGUUUUUAUCUCAAUGACCAGAAGGCCUUAUCUAGCAACAAAGGAGUUGGGGAAUAUAAUCAUUUUCACCAGCAUUGUGCCCAGAUCAAACCUGAAGAAAGGCUCCCACUUCUCUGUCUUUCUUGUUGUCCCCAUACAGGGUGAGCGCACAAUGAGGGUCCGAUACAGUUACUGACCACUUAACUCAAAAACAGGAAACAAUUUUUACUAUCAAGAAUAUGGGGGCAAAGGAAAGGACAUAAACCUAAAAUCAAAGAUGUUUUAUAAACAUGAGCUUAAAAUGUCGAUGGAACUCUCGUUAACACAUAGAGUUGACUUUUAGCUAAAUCCACCAGAAAGGAAUACUGCUACAAAUGGUCCAGUGUAAAGAAGCAAUCCGGUAAACUAGCCAAGUGGGCUCUCUUUUUAAAUCAAAGGGCCUUGGACACUUAGGUGGCUCAGUCAGUUAAGCAUUGGACUCGUGAUCUCUGCUGGGGCCAUGAUCUCACAGUUCCUGGGGUGAGGCCGGUGCUCCCUCAGGCUCAACAGCGGCGCCUGCUUGGGAUUCUCUCUCUCUGCCCCUCCCCUGCUCGCGUACACGUGCUCUCAUGCUCUCUUGCGCGCAUGCUCCCUCUGUCUCUCUCUCUCAAAAUAACUAAACAAAAAGGUAAAAAAAGAAUAAAGGGUCUCAAUGGUCUUAUUCAUUGCUCUCUCUUCAGCACCUGUGACACCUAAAUGAAUGAAUGCGAUACAGCAUUUUUCUAAACAGUUGUCUUGAUUUUCUCAUUAUCCAGACCCCCUGCUUUUUCCUGUGCAUUUUUAAAUACCUAGCAGGUUCUCUAUGCUAUUUUAACUCUGUACGACAA